Molecule: long non-coding RNA, 687 nt
Organism: Chionomys nivalis (European snow vole)
Lineage: Eukaryota; Metazoa; Chordata; Mammalia; Rodentia; Cricetidae
Exons: 3
Source: RefSeq, a predicted model, not a curated record
UUCCUGGACGGCCUGGGUUGCUUCAGGCCCUGAAUCGCAAUACACAAACUAAGGUUGGAGCCUGUCAAAGAUGGGAAUGCCAAGACUGGAGAGAGCGAGCCAAGUCUGCCCAGCUAACCCAGAAUUCAAACCUCUGUCAUUUUGACUCCAAGUACCUGCUCCAGAUGCUAAGGAAGAGCAGAAUUACAGAAAGGUUACUGCUGUCCCGGUGAACCUAACUGAAGGUCGUUAGCUCUGGAUGGGCCUGCAAGCUGUCCCCCUAUCCUGGAGCUGGCCCUGUGGUUCUCUUUGCUUUCGAAAGACAGGAUCUCAUGCAGGCUAGGCUGGCCUCAAACUUGAUACACAGCCAAGAAUGUCCUUGAAAUACUCAUCCUCAGGGCUGGAAAGAUGGCUCAGCAGUUAAGAGCACUGUCUGCUUUUUCAGAGGACCCAGGUUCAAUUCCCAGCAGUCACAUGUCACACAGACAUUCACAACUGCUGUUCCUUUUGGAGACAAGGCCGCACAUGCGCAGGACACUCUCCGAGAUGCACCUGGAUUUCUCUGAACUACAAACCCCAGCAGCCCAAUGGGAAGCCACGCAUGCGCAGGACGUUUUCUCCAGACACCUGGAGCCCCCUUAAAAACGGGACGUCUCAACCCGCCUCCCUCUUUUCCUUUCGUCUCUUCACCCCCCGUCCCUUACCUGU